Molecule: long non-coding RNA, 342 nt
Organism: Pygocentrus nattereri (red-bellied piranha)
Lineage: Eukaryota; Metazoa; Chordata; Actinopteri; Characiformes; Serrasalmidae
Exons: 2
Source: RefSeq, a predicted model, not a curated record
CUUUGCUGAACAGAAGGAGCCACUGUGCGUUCUUGUGAGCUGGAGCUCAGUGAAAUGACUCUGCAUUUCCUUGCCCCACCACACAAUGUAAGGCCAAGCUUUCAGGACAUGUUGAGACUUGACUGCUUGAACCCGUCAUGGAGACAGACAUGACAAUGAGGCCAAUGUUAGGAAUUUACUGUUCUCAAAAUACACCCACUGAGUAACACUGGAGAAGGGUUCAGAAGCGGAUGGAAUGCCAUCUUCAGCAAGUGUGAUGAAGACACAGUGGUGAAAGCAGUCCUGGCCUGACACUGAGUUCAGUGGUGGAUCAUCAUUAGUUAAAACUAGCAUUUACAGUGA